CGGCGGCGGCGGUGGCGGCGGCGGUCAGGUGGAAUGCUAUGGAAUAUGAUGAGAAGCUGGCCCGCUUCCGGCAGGCCCACCUCAACCCCUUCAACAAGCAGUUGGGACCGAGACAGCAUGAGCAGCGCCCUGGAGAGGAGGCCCCGGAAGCCACACCUGAAGAGGCCCUGCCGGAGCUGCCCCCUGCAGAGCCGGAGUUCCGCUGCGCUGAGCGUGUGAUGGAUCUCGGCCUGUCUGAGGACCACUUCUCCCGCCCUGUGGGUCUGUUCCUGGCUUCUGAUGUGCAGCAGCUGCAGCAGGCGAUUGAGGCUUGCAAGCAGGUGAUUCUGGAGCUGCCCGAGCAGUCGGAGAAGCAGAAGGAUGCCGUGGUGCGGCUGAUCCACCUCCGGCUGAAGCUCCAGGAGCUGAAGGACCCCAACGAGGAUGAGCCAAACAUCAGGGUGCUCCUGGAGCACCGCUUCUACAAAGAGAAGAGCAAGAGUGUCAAGCAGACCUGUGACAAGUGCAACACCAUCAUCUGGGGGCUCAUUCAGACCUGGUACACCUGCACAGGGUGUUAUUACCGCUGUCAUAGCAAGUGCUUGAACCUCAUUUCCAAGCCCUGUGUGAGCUCCAAAGUCAGCCACCAAGCCGAAUACGAACUGAACAUCUGCCCUGAGACCGGGCUGGACAGCCAGGAUUACCGCUGUGCCGAGUGCCGGGUGCCCAUCUCUCUGCGGGGUGUGCCCAGCGAGGCCAGGCAGUGUGACUACACUGGCCAGUACUACUGCAGCCACUGCCACUGGAACGACCUGGCCAUCAUCCCCGCACGCGUGGUGCACAACUGGGACUUUGAGCCUCGAAAGGUAUCCCGCGGCAGCAUGCGCUACCUGGCGCUGAUGGUGUCCCGGCCCGUGCUCAGGCUCCGUGAGAUCAACCCUCUGCUGUUCAACUACGUGGAGGAGCUGGUGGAGAUUCGCAAGCUGCGCCAGGACAUCUUGCUCAUGAAGCCGUACUUCCUCACCUGCAGGGAGGCCAUGGAGGCACGUCUGCUGCUGCAGCUCCAGGACCGGCAGCAUUUUGUGGAGAACGACGAGAUGUACUCUGUCCAGGACCUCCUGGAUGUGCACGCUGGCCGCCUGGGCUGCUCGCUCACCGAGAUCCACACACUGUUCGCCAAGCACAUCAAGCUGGACUGUGAGCGGUGCCAGGCCAAGGGCUUUGUGUGUGAGCUCUGUAGAGAGGGCGACGUGCUGUUCCCGUUCGACAGCCACACGUCUGUGUGCACUGACUGCUCCGCCGUCUUCCACAGGUGGGUGUGCUGGGGCCCUGCACUUGGGGGUGGGGCUCUGCCCUGUCCUCCAGGAGCCACCCCUGGCCUCAGGUACGCAGGAUGCCAUGGGAGAUGGCACUAGUGCCCUAGAGAGACGGAGAUGGAUCUUUGCUGACCCUGAGAUGCUAAGUCAGACCGUGAUGCCUGUGACUGAAUGAGAAGCUCCCUCAGGACAGCACCUGGGGGCUGGGGGGCUGCUCCUUCCCAGGCCCGUCCUGGACCAGCCCCGGCAGCCCCAGCUUCGCCCCUGACGUGUUCACAGCCUCCCAGCAGCUUCCUCUCACCACUAGGAUUGAAAUCACUGUUUGAGGCCACUAGAGCCACAGGGAAAAUUAUUUAUGUUCAAACAACUUUGUAAGUACUUAUGUCCUAAAGAUUUAGUGGCUGUUUGGAAAACUAAUAUACACAAAUUAGAAGAAAAAUAUUUUAAUUUCAUGCUUCAGUAAGUGUGAUGACUUACUAUGAUGUGUAUGCAGGUUUUGGGCUCCACAUGUCUGCCAGACGUGGAAUCAGGUGGAACACUCCCCUCCCUGCCAGUUUCUGUUCCCUGAUUUUUGCCUGGAAUUUGCUAUUUUCCGUAGUAACUGCUGAAACCCCGGCUCUGCAGCGCUAUGGUGUCACACAGAGGAGACUGUUGCAGAGCCUCGGGUGGAGACUGAACUCCGUCAGCUGGUAGUGUGCUCGAGGUCUCACAGAUGCCAGUCACUGCCAUGUUCUGUUUAAAAGUUUGAACUCAGCUGCAGUGCCCCAGGACACAGUUUAGGAGCCAAGGCAGAUGCCAGGCACCCUGGAAUAGGAACGGGGGAUCGUGAGGAAGGGCUCUGAGGCUGGUGUGGCCACCUAGCUCAGCCCCUCAGCUGUGUGAACUGGGCCUGUGUGGUCGCCAACAGCGGUAACAUGACGAGCCGGAGGGCCACCUCUGCACGCUGGGUAGGCGCUCUGCACACGACCACAGUCACUCACCUCGUGCAGAGCCUGAUUCUGGUCUUUGGUAAUGGCUGUAGAGGGGAUGAUGAGAGCUGACCUAGAGCGCGUGUGGGGAGUCAGUGCUGGUGUUUCCUGUGCCAAGAGCCCCAACCUGUUCUUGCCUCCAGGGACUGCUACUACGACAACUCUACCACGUGCCCCAAGUGUGCCCGGCUCAGCCUGAGGAAGCAGUCGCUCUUCCAGGAGCCAGGUGCUGAUGUGGAGGCCUAGGGCUGAGGAGGAGUGCCGGGCACCCGCCUGGGCCACCAGGACCCACCUCGACAGCGUCAAGUUGUUCCUUCUGCUCUGGAGACCCCUGGGGUGCGGCCCCAGGACCCCUUCGCCCCUGUGGGGCCGGAGUGGGUGGGCAUUAUCAAGGACUGUGGUCUCCCACGUGCGUGCGGGGACUCGGGGCGGCCACGCCUGGCUGCAUUCCUGUGAGGGGUCCUUACGUGGCCCCCAGCCUUCCCCAGUGCGGGACUCCCUGGGCAGGGAGAUGGGGGACAUCUCACCUCCCCCGUGGUAGAGAGCCCUCCACACCCCUGGGCCAGGGCAUCUGGGCCCUAGAGAUUUCGCAGCUCCCAUCCUGGCCACCCUGGAACCUCGUCAGGCCAAGACCCCAAGAGGGCUUCUGAGGAGACGUGAGGAUGGACCACCCAGCCCAGGGCCGAGUUUCCCACGCAGUGGGUUUCCACUCUGCCUGGAGGCUCCGUCCUUCCCAGCCACGUACCUUCUUGGGGGCUUCUGGUUGUCCCCAGCUGGGGCUGUUCACAGUUGUCACCUGUAGACCUGCCUCUACCCGGGGCCUGAAGGUCUAAGGCCUCACUGCAUGGUCAGCCCAGUGGGUCACCUGUUGUUUCUGUACAACAGUAGGCGAGCGGGCCAUGGAGCUUUUCCCUGCUGGGUGCUCCUGCCUUGGCCCAGCCCACCUUUGCUGGUGCUCUAAGCUAGGAGGCCGUGGGUCUGCCUGAGGUGGAUGUCCUGGCCCCCAGGUGUGGAGCAGGGACUGCGCCUGCAGGAAGUUCCAGGUUAGACAGUGGGACCUUACAGUGGUUCCUCGUGGCAUUUCUUGGAACCAAAUCUGCCUGGAGGAGCUGUGUCCUGCUGCCUGUGAUGAGCUCUGGGUAGCUUGGAAACGACUGGCCAGUGGCCUUUUCCUGGGGGCCUGAGGUCAAGAGCUGAGAAUAUUUGCUCAGCUGAGCCCAUUCAGGAAGAUCAGAGGAGGGGGGUGUGGGAGGCCCCUCACGCCGCAGGACAGAGGCCCCUGGACAGCAGAGGAGGCCUGCAGCCCUGGGUGUGGGACACUUGGCUUUGCUGUGUGCACUUUACAGACCCUGUGGUCCAUGAGGGGCCUUGGGACAGGACAUUUUGGGACGUGGCUUCCCAGGCUUCUGCCCUGGGAAGUAGGGGUGCUCCUGUCUGUCGUUUUCGGGGAGUGGAGGGUGAGGGGUUACAUGGGUCCCACACCCUGGGCUGUGCUUGGCUGUUGGUGCACAUGGUGGGCAGAGGACACAGAAUAUCACUGCUUGGUAGGUGUCCCCUUUGACCAGGAAGCCCAAGAGGAGCCACCUUAGCCAGCAGAAAGGCCGCCCAGCUCCAGGGCGGAUUCAGUGAGCCGCCUCUGUCCCCUCCGCCAUCAGGAAGGGGAUGGUGUCCUCUCCCCACUGUGGUGGUUUUAAGGCAAGGUUCUUAUUGUCUGCCCUGCCUCGGUUUCCCCAUCUGGAAAAUGGGGGCAGGGGUACUGACCUACCUCAGGGGGAACGGUGAGCAGGGAACAUGCUGGAGUCCGUUAGAGAGUGUGAUGUGAGGUUGGGUUCCUGUCUGGCAUCCCCUUCCUCUUUGGGGCUGAGGACGGAGUGAAAGGCCAGAUGCUGUUUCCCGACACCCCUCGGUCUGCACACGCCUAACGACUGCGUCACGUUUCUGUCAUAUGGAUAUCAGCCAUGCCGAAAUACGUGUACUCAGCAUCACAUUAUUCAGCAUCACAUUAUUCCAGUUACAGAUCACUGUGUCCACAGAAAAACUGCUGGCGUUUGCUGGACAAAGGGUUGGGCCUUUUUUUUUUUAAAAACCUUCCACCCAGCAUCUCCCCACCUGCCCGUUGUUCUGGGUGAUACAGUCUCUAAACAGAAUCACGUGUGGGUGUUUCUGAGUCCACCGCAGGAAGAGCCCAGCAAGGACCCAGCUUGCACCGCCAGCACCUCGCAAGGCCACAGCGCCGGACCCAGCUGGCCUGUAACAAUGCUGCUGUCACUCUCUCAUUAAAUGUAUGUCCUGUA
This is a non-coding RNA of Saimiri boliviensis boliviensis (Bolivian squirrel monkey), 4557 nucleotides long. The record is from RefSeq and is a predicted model, not a curated record. Lineage: Eukaryota; Metazoa; Chordata; Mammalia; Primates; Cebidae.